RNAcentral lists this unclassified non-coding RNA (659 nucleotides) under Bombus terrestris (buff-tailed bumblebee). RNAcentral describes it as "misc RNA ENSBTSG00005033303.1". Lineage: Eukaryota; Metazoa; Arthropoda; Insecta; Hymenoptera; Apidae. The record is from RNAcentral.
AAACCAAAGGAAACAAACUGCACUUCGUAAACCGGUGCAAUGCGUAAUGUAUGCGACAGGAAGAAUAGAGUGUUAGGAAAAUUCUUUUUUGUAGAGUAAUUCGAUGACCACCGUGUCCACGUAGAACAUGCAACGGAAAUGCACUUCAAUGAGAAGGCGAUGACUCCCAGCUUUCAAAGACCUUGCAAGAGAUAUGCACUUCACAGCAAAGAAUCAGGGGAAGAGGCGGAUGCAGCAGAUAUCCCACUCCGGCUUUUUUUGCGCUCCGCUUAGCUUAUUGUAUUCAGUGGAAUAUACUAUAUACUUGAAAAAUCUCUUCCUUCUUCACCCUCAGUUAAAAUGUACGAUGAAAGAUAAGAAGUCGAUGAAAACAAAGAUGACCGUGCAGCAAAUAGUCCAUCAGCGAAGGAUAAUAAAAUGGAGAAGCGGGAAAGGAGUCAAUUGCACCAUGUCAUUGUAUUAAAGUCCAUGAUGAUGUUGAUACCUGAUCUUGUCACCUAACACACACUCAGUUGCCUAAGAUCCUGCAACAUACAUCAUUUUUUCCAUACUGUACCUAUAAACCUCUUAUAACAAACAGUAACUGUAACUAUAAAAUAAAUAUUAAACUUUAAUUUUAUUUAAUCUUCAACAAUAUUAUUUUAACCAUUACAUCGAAU